ACCUGAGUGACGAAUAAAAUCGUUCGGAUUCCCACUGAUAUUACAUGAUUAUUAUAACCAGCUACUUCUGACGGAU
This is a non-coding RNA of Triticum urartu, 76 nucleotides long. NCBI's taxonomy places the organism in Eukaryota, Viridiplantae, Streptophyta, Magnoliopsida, Poales, Poaceae. The record is from Rfam.